This 468-nucleotide ribosomal RNA is filed under the name uncultured bacterium. Its description in RNAcentral is "partial 16S ribosomal RNA". It matches the Rfam family "Bacterial small subunit ribosomal RNA", at positions 28 to 507 of the family's 1533-position model. The record is from RNAcentral.
GACGAACGCUGGCGGCGUGCUUAACACAUGCAAGUCGAACGGAAAGACACUGCUUUUUUGGGGUGCUGGAGUGGCGAACGGGUGAGUAACAGGAGAGUAACGUGACCUACACUUUGGGAUAGCUUCAGGAAACUGGAGUUAAGCUCGUACAGGAGAUCAUGCUGCAGUGUGGGGGUUGGAAAGUUUCGGCGGUUGGGGAUGGAUGGGCGGGUCAUGAGCUUGUUGGUGGGGUAGGUGCUUACCAAGGCUUUGACGGGUAGCCGGCCUGAGAGGGUGACCGGCCACAUUGGGACUGAGAUACGGCCCAGACGGCAAUGGGAGGCAGCAGUGGGGAAUAUUGUACAACGGGCCGAAGCCGGAUGCAGCAGCGCCGCGUGCGUGAUGACGGCCUUCGGGUAGUAAACCGCUUUCGCCUGUGACGACGCGGGAGUGACGGUAAUGGGUAAAGAAGCACCGGCUAACUACGUG